This 497-nucleotide ribosomal RNA is filed under the name uncultured bacterium. Its description in RNAcentral is "partial 16S ribosomal RNA". It matches the Rfam family "Bacterial small subunit ribosomal RNA", at positions 28 to 507 of the family's 1533-position model. The record is from RNAcentral.
GAUGAACGCUGGCGGCGUGCCUAAUACAUGCAAGUCGAGCGAACGGACGAGAAGCUUGCUUCUCUGAUGUUAGCGGCGGAAGGGUGAGUAACACGUGGAUAACCUACCUAUAAGACUGGGAUAACUUCGGGAAACCGGAGCUAAUACCGGAUAAUAUUUUGAACCGCAUGGUUCAAAAGUGAAAGACGGUCUUGCUGUCACUUAUAGAUGGAUCCGCGCUGCAUUAGCUAGUUGGUAAGGUAACGGCUUACCAAGGCAACGAUGCAUAGCCGACCUGAGAGGGUGAUCGGCCACACUGGGACUGAGACACGGUCCAGACUCCUACGGGAGGCAGCAGUAGGGAAUCUUCCGCAAUGGGCGAAAGCCUGACGGAGCAACGCCGCGUGAGUGAUGAAGGUCUUCGGAUCGUAAAACUCUGUUAUUAGGGAAGAACAUAUGUGUAAGUAACUGUGCACAUCUUGACGGUACCUAAUCAGAAAGCCACGGCUAACUACGUG